GAUUACUCCUACGGGAGGCAGCAGUAAGGAAUAUUGGACAAUGGGCGCAAGCCUGAUCCAGCCAUGCCGCGUGAAGGAUGAAGGCCCUAUGGGUCGUAAACUUCUUUUAUACGGGAAAAAACCCCUCGAUGCGUUGAGGGUUGAUGGUACUGUAAGAAUAAGGGUCGGCUAACUUCGUGCCAGCAGCCGCGGUAAUACGAAGGACCCGAGCGUUAUCCGGAUUUAUUGGGUUUAAAGGGUGCGUAGGCGGAUUAGUAAGUCAGUGGUGAAAGCCCAUCGCUUAACGGUGGAACUGCCAUUGAUACUGCUAGUCUUGAGUAUGGUUGAGGUGGGCGGAAUGUGUCAUGUAGCGGUGAAAUGCUUAGAUAUGACACAGAACACCAAUUGCGAAGGCAGCUCGCUAAACCAUAACUGACGCUGAGGCACGAAAGCGUGGGGAGCAAACAGGAUUAGAUACCCUGGUAGUCCACGCCCUAAACGAUGAUAACUCGUUGUUGGCGAUACACAGCGACAACGAAAGCAUUAAGUUAUCCCCUGGGAAGGGCCACCGCAAGGUUGAAAACUCAAAGGGAAUUGACGGGGGCCCGCACAAGCGGAGGAGCAUGUGGUUUAAUUCGAUGAUACGCGAGGAACCUUACCUGGGCUUGAAAGUUAGCGACCGGUCCUGAAAGGGGCCUUCCCGCAAGGGCGCGAAACUAGGUGCUGCAUGGCUGUCGUCAGCUCGUGCCGUGAGGUGUUGGGUUAAGUCCCGUAACGAGCGCAACCCCUAUCAUUAGUUGCCAUCAGGUCAUGCUGGGGACUCUAAUGAGACUGCCCGCGCAAGCGGUGAGGAAGGUGGGGACGACGUCAAGUCAUCACGGCCCUUACGUCCAGGGCUACACACGUGCUACAAUGGUAGAUACAGCAGGUUGCCACAUGGUAACAUGGAGCUAAUCCCUAAAGUCUAUCUCAGUUCGGAUUGAGGUCUGCAACUCGACCUCAUGAAGCUGGAUUCGCUAGUAAUCGGAAAUCAGCAAUGUUCCGGUGAAUACCUUCCCGGGCCUUGUACACACCGAAUCACUAGU
This 1064-nucleotide ribosomal RNA is filed under the name uncultured bacterium. Its description in RNAcentral is "bacterial SSU rRNA". It matches the Rfam family "Bacterial small subunit ribosomal RNA", at positions 331 to 1402 of the family's 1533-position model. The record is from RNAcentral.